CCCUUAGAUGUCCUGGGCUGCACGCGCGCUACACUGAUGUGUCCAGUAAGCACCUAACCUCUUCCGAAAGGAACGGGUAACCUUUGCAAAGCACAUCGUGAUGGGGAUAGAUUAUUGCAAUUAUUAGUCUUGAACGAGGAAUUCCUAGUAAGCACAAGUCAUCAGCUUGUGUUGAUUACGUCCCUGCCCUUUGUACACACCGCCCGUCGCACCUACCGAUUGAAUGGUCCGGUGAAGCCUCGGGAUUGUGGCCAGUUCACUUUAUUGGGAGUUGGCUGUGAGAACUUGUCUAAACCUUAUCAUUUAGAGGAAGGUGAAGUCGUAACA
Molecule: ribosomal RNA, 327 nt
Filed under: uncultured eukaryote
Lineage: Eukaryota
Description: partial 18S ribosomal RNA
Rfam family: Eukaryotic small subunit ribosomal RNA
Source: RNAcentral